This 857-nucleotide ribosomal RNA is filed under the name Klebsiella pneumoniae. RNAcentral describes it as "partial 23S ribosomal RNA". It matches the Rfam family "Bacterial large subunit ribosomal RNA", at positions 375 to 1238 of the family's 2925-position model. Lineage: Bacteria; Pseudomonadati; Pseudomonadota; Gammaproteobacteria; Enterobacterales; Enterobacteriaceae. The record is from RNAcentral.
GUACACCAAAAUGCACAGGUUGUGAACUCGAAGAGUAGGGCGGGACACGUGGUAUCCUGUCUGAAUAUGGGGGGACCAUCCUCCAAGGCUAAAUACUCCUGACUGACCGAUAGUGAACCAGUACCGUGAGGGAAAGGCGAAAAGAACCCCGGCGAGGGGAGUGAAAAAGAACCUGAAACCGUGUACGUACAAGCAGUGGGAGCACCUUCGGGUGUGACUGCGUACCUUUUGUAUAAUGGGUCAGCGACUUAUAUUCUGUAGCAAGGUUAACCGUAUAGGGGAGCCGCAGGGAAACCGAGUCUUAACUGGGCGUUAAGUUGCAGGGUAUAGACCCGAAACCCGGUGAUCUAGCCAUGGGCAGGUUGAAGGUUGGGUAACACUAACUGGAGGACCGAACCGACUAAUGUUGAAAAAUUAGCGGAUGACUUGUGGCUGGGGGUGAAAGGCCAAUCAAACCGGGAGAUAGCUGGUUCUCCCCGAAAGCUAUUUAGGUAGCGCCUCGUGAAUUCAUCUUCGGGGGUAGAGCACUGUUUCGGCUAGGGGGUCAUCCCGACUUACCAACCCGAUGCAAACUACGAAUACCGAAGAAUGUUAUCACGGGAGACACACGGCGGGUGCUAACGUCCGUCGUGAAGAGGGAAACAACCCAGACCGCCAGCUAAGGUCCCAAAGUCAUGGUUAAGUGGGAAACGAUGUGGGAAGGCACAGACAGCCAGGAUGUUGGCUUAGAAGCAGCCAUCAUUUAAAGAAAGCGUAAUAGCUCACUGGUCGAGUCGGCCUGCGCGGAAGAUGUAACGGGGCUAAACCAUGCACCGAAGCUGCGGCAGCGACACUAUGUGUUGUUGGGUAGGGGAGCG